AGGGAUUGCCUUAGUAACGGCGAGUGAAGCGGCAACAGCUCAAAUUUGAAAGCUGGCCCUUUUAGGGUCCGCGUUGUAAUUUGUAGAGGAUGAUUCGGCGAGGGCUCCCGCCUAAGUCCCCUGGAACGGGGCGUCAUAGAGGGUGAGAAUCCCGUAUGCGGUGGGUUGCCUUAGCCAUGUGAAUCUCCUUCGACGAGUCGAGUUGUUUGGGAAUGCAGCUCUAAAUGGGAGGUAAAUUUCUUCUAAAGCUAAAUACCGGCCAGAGACCGAUAGCGCACAAGUAGAGUGAUCGAAAGAUGAAAAGCACUUUGGAAAGAGAGUUAAAAAGUACGUGAAAUUGUUGAAAGGGAAGCGCUUGCAACCAGACUUGUCCGCAGUUGCUCAGCCGGUCUCCUGACCGGCGUACUCUUCUGCGGCCAGGCCAGCAUCAGUUCGGGCGGUCGGAUAAAGACCUCGGGAAUGUAGCUCCUCUCGGGGAGUGUUAUAGCCCGGGGUGGAAUGCGGCCAGCCUGGACUGAGGAUCUCGCUUCGGCAAGGAUGCUGGCGUAAUGGUUGUAAGCGGCCCGUCUUGAAACACGGACCAAGGAGUCUAACAUCUAUGCGAGUGUUCGGGUGUCAAACCCGUACGCGUAAUGAAAGUGAACGGAGGUGGGAACCCGCAAGGGUGCACCAUCGGCCGAUCCUGAUGUCUUCGGAUGGAUUUGAGCAAGAGCAUAGCUGUUGGGACCCGAAAGAUGGUGAACUAUGCCUGAAUAGGGUGAAGCCAGAGGAAACUCUGGUGGAGGCUCGCAGCGGUUCUGACGUGCAAAUCGAUCGUCAAAUUUGGGUAUAGGGGCGAAAGACUAAUC
RNAcentral lists this ribosomal RNA (848 nucleotides) under Lasiodiplodia plurivora. RNAcentral describes it as "eukaryotic LSU rRNA". It matches the Rfam family "Eukaryotic large subunit ribosomal RNA", at positions 70 to 936 of the family's 3401-position model. The record is from RNAcentral. Lineage: Eukaryota; Fungi; Ascomycota; Dothideomycetes; Botryosphaeriales; Botryosphaeriaceae.